GAAUACUAAUUACAAUCUGCGUGAAUAUGACCCUCCUUUUUAAAGCCUUCCUCCCUCCCCUCCUAUUGACUUGAUUCCCUAUUGCCAUCUCGUUGUCAAGAACUCCUCUCUCUCUCUCUCGCUCGCUCGCCUCUGACACUUUGAAUCAGUGUCUGUUGAAGAAAGAAGGAAUUUCUUUGUUUUAGCUUUACGCAGCACAGCAGUCUGGAAAUGGGCAGGCAUUCUUGCUACUACAAGCAGAAGCUCCGUAAAGGCCUCUGGUCUCCCGAGGAAGAUGAGAAACUCAUCAAACAUAUCACCAAAUUCGGCCACGGCUGCUGGAGCUCUGUCCCUAAACUCGCCGGGCUUCAAAGGUGUGGAAAAAGCUGCAGGCUGAGGUGGAUAAAUUAUUUGAGGCCUGAUUUGAAAAGAGGCACAUUUUGUCAAGAGGAGGAGAAUUUGAUCAUUGAGCUGCAUGCAGUUCUUGGCAACAGGUGGUCACAGAUUGCGGCACAGCUGCCGGGGAGAACAGACAAUGAGAUAAAAAAUCUUUGGAAUUCGUCCAUCAAGAAAAAGCUAAGGCAGAGGGGCAUUGACCCGAGCACCCACAAGCCCCUGUCCGAGGCGGACAGCGAGGACAACAAAGCCAGCAACAACAACAACAACAACAACGACAAGACCUCUGAGAACUCCAGCGACCUCACCUUCGCCGACAAACCCCCCCGCUACCCGCUCCUCGACAACGCCGCCCCCAAUUCGACCCAAGAAUUCUUCCUCAACCGCUUAGUCGCCACCCACGAGUCCUCCACCGCCAAGCCGUCCGACAUGUCAUCAUUCCUCUCCUUCCAGCACCUCAACUACGCCGCCGCCCCCAACAUCGCCCUCUCCAUCAACCCCAACGCCACCAGCAUCUUCUCCUCCGAUCAAUUCGGUGCCACCAAUUUGGCGGCGGCGCCUCUCCUCUCCUCAAUUCCCAGCCGCGUUAACAACAACAACAACAAUUCAGUCACCCCCUUCAGCGUCAAAUUCGAAAACUGGGACGCGAGGGGAGGCGAGGGCGGCUUCUUCGAGAACAACGCGUUCGCGUGGGCGGCCGCGGAGAAGGUGGAGGCGCACGCGCAGUCUUCCGAGAGUGGGAUUAAUAAUCCCGAAGAUAUAAAGUGGUCUGAGUAUAUGCAGACUCCUUUUAACAUUCAAAAUCAGAAUCUACACGCACAAGAUGUGUACGAGGGGUGGCAGCAGCCGCAGCAGCAAGCUGCGGCGGAGAUAUACAGCAAGCAUUUCCAGGCGUUUGGACAGUAUUCUUAAAAAUUAGUUGCAAAAAAGGCUGCUAAUUCUUCUUCUUCUUCUUCGACGACAGGGCGAACGAACUGGCACCUAACUAUAUCAUUGAUUUGGCAUGCUAUGAUUGGCUUCUUACGCACGCGCAUGUGUGACUCGCACUGAUUCGCUUCCAUCCAUAGCGAUGUGCUUGGGAUAUUGAGCAUUCGCACCUUGCUCUAUUUACUGGGCUGGCGAUGCUCUGAGUCAACACGCUGAUAUUAAGUCAAAAACUAAUGACAAAUGAUAUUACUGAUUCAGCUACUUAAAUGCUUUUCAUUUUUCCUAAGACCAUCUUUUACUAUAUUCACAUACGUUGUAAAUUAAAAGGAAUAUUUCGUAUUUGAUUAUUUUGAUAUAUAGUACAUAUAAAAAAAUUGUUUGAAAA
This is an RNA transcript of Salvia splendens (bonfire salvia), 1687 nucleotides long. It is a transcript of the gene named transcription factor MYB61-like, with no coding region annotated. The record is from RefSeq and is a predicted model, not a curated record. NCBI's taxonomy places the organism in Eukaryota, Viridiplantae, Streptophyta, Magnoliopsida, Lamiales, Lamiaceae. The transcript has 4 exons.